GGCCUCGUAGCUCAGUUGGCUAGCGAGUUUGCUGUACUAAAGCCUUCCCCUUGAUGGCGUGGGUUCGAAUCCCACCGAAGCCG
This 83-nucleotide transfer RNA is filed under the name Schistocephalus solidus. It matches the Rfam family "tRNA". Rfam says of the family: Transfer RNA (tRNA) molecules are approximately 80 nucleotides in length. Their secondary structure includes four short double-helical elements and three loops (D, anti-codon, and T loops). Lineage: Eukaryota; Metazoa; Platyhelminthes; Cestoda; Diphyllobothriidea; Diphyllobothriidae. The record is from Rfam by way of RNAcentral.